GUUAGGCCAGGGCACGCCUGCCUGGCGUCACAC
Molecule: ribosomal RNA, 33 nt
Filed under: Alniaria alnifolia (alder-leaved whitebeam)
Lineage: Eukaryota; Viridiplantae; Streptophyta; Magnoliopsida; Rosales; Rosaceae
Description: Sorbus alnifolia partial 5.8S rRNA
Source: RNAcentral